RNAcentral lists this transfer RNA (19 nucleotides) under Pseudoleskeopsis imbricata. Its description in RNAcentral is "partial tRNA-Phe". The record is from RNAcentral. Lineage: Eukaryota; Viridiplantae; Streptophyta; Bryopsida; Hypnales; Leskeaceae.
UUAAAAAGGCCGGAAUAGC